Ipomoea nil (Japanese morning glory) is the source of this 91-nucleotide long non-coding RNA. RefSeq lists it as uncharacterized. The record is from RefSeq and is a predicted model, not a curated record. The transcript is spliced from 3 exons. Lineage: Eukaryota; Viridiplantae; Streptophyta; Magnoliopsida; Solanales; Convolvulaceae.
AUGUGUAUGUCUAGAAAAGUUGUAACCCUUUGAGUCUUCUUUACAAUUUCGCAAGAAUCACAUAAUUUGGACAUUUCUAGGCUGAGAUAUG